Molecule: microRNA precursor, 203 nt
Filed under: Oryza nivara
Lineage: Eukaryota; Viridiplantae; Streptophyta; Magnoliopsida; Poales; Poaceae
Description: MIR812 microRNA precursor family
Rfam family: MIR812 microRNA precursor family
Source: Rfam by way of RNAcentral
AAUAGAUGACGCUAUUGAUUUGUUCUCACAUGUUUGACCAUUUAUCUUAUUUAAAAAAUUUACGUAAUUAUAAUUUAUUUUGUUAUGAGUUGUUUUAUCACUCAUAGUACUUUAAUGUGAUUUAUAUCUUAUACAUUUGCAUACAAUCUUUGAAUAAGACGAAUGAUCAAACAUGUGAAAAAAAAUCAACGGUGUCAUUUAUU